Molecule: unclassified non-coding RNA, 1113 nt
Filed under: Hevea brasiliensis (rubber tree)
Lineage: Eukaryota; Viridiplantae; Streptophyta; Magnoliopsida; Malpighiales; Euphorbiaceae
Source: RNAcentral
UUGAGUUGACUUAGUAGGUUGAAAAUCGACUUUGUUAUUAGCUUAGGUUGGGUUGAAUUUCCAGUCUUCGGGCCCGGAGUUCAUCCUGAGGCCGAGGUACGUAGUGACGUCUCUUGCUGGGCCUUUGAUAAGGAAUGGUCGGUUUGUUAGUCUUAAUCCAGCGACUGGCCUUGCUCCGAGCGAUAUCCGAAGUAUGGUUCGCUCGCUAGUUAUAUGCUUAACACAUGCAUCUGAGGUCAGAGGUGCCGCUAAGGUUAACUAUCUCAAUCUACAACUCAAUGUGAUUGGCUUCGUCCGGGCUCAGUCUCUUCCGGCCGCCUCAUCCUACUUACUCCACUCGCUAUGUUUUGCUGCCAAACGGACUCUCCCGGGGGUUUUCCCGUGAAUGUAAUGCUUAGCAACCCGUGCGCCCCUACCCGAGAGGCAAGCUUGGCGGCGCGAGUGAUGCGGUAACAAGCCGAAUCCAAAGUACCUCGACGCAAAUUGCAUAAAUAGAAAAGAGGUGCCUAUCCGCUCAUCAAGUAAAGAAAGGCAUCGAUACAUCGAGGACCAGGGCGGUGGGGUGGGGAAGUAAAUGAAAUUCUUCUAUCGUCACAACCCCUUUUCUCGAAGCUGACUCAAUUUUCUUUCUUUAAGGGAGGGCGAUACUCUGAUAGCUGAAGGGCGGUCCUUUUCAAAUCUAACUCGAAUGUUCGAGCUAAUGUAACGGCUGUUUCCGGUAGUUGGAGUUGCCUUGAUGUCAGAAAGGUGCCCAGUUCAGAAGGUGCGAAAGAAUGGCUAUUCUCUUGCUCGUGAUUCUUGGGGGGGUCGUAGAUGGAAAAAUGGGUUCGACUCCCAUAGCCCCGAUGUGGCGAAAAAGACUGAUUCAACGAGAUAUGCCUUGCCUGCAUUAAGAUUUAAAACUUGUCGUCUACUUUCAGGAAAUGUUUGGAAGAGAGAACUUACAAUAAUACAACGCCGCAUUCUCCGAAGAUUGAGGAACAAGAAGAAAGAUAUUAAGAGAAAGAUUUCUUCGAGAGAAAAUCUUAACAGUUACAUCCAAUUACAAACUACACGAAAGUUGUCCCUUUUUUAUGGGGAUUUACCCAUCACAGAGAUGCACAGAGGAACAGA